Callorhinus ursinus (northern fur seal) is the source of this 387-nucleotide long non-coding RNA. RefSeq lists it as uncharacterized. The record is from RefSeq and is a predicted model, not a curated record. Lineage: Eukaryota; Metazoa; Chordata; Mammalia; Carnivora; Otariidae.
CUUCCUAAGGCCUCCAUGCUGUAAGAGUGCCCAAACUAGCACAUGCCAAGAGAAUGCAUGGAAAGCCCUGAAGUUACAUGAAGAGAGAGAUGCCAAGACAAGUCCCAGGAACAAGUCUGAGGUUUGGUGUUUGAUAUGAAUUUGAAUCCAUCAAUUCAGGAGCAUGAGGUAGAAAUGUUUUUCUACCAUAUGGAUGGAAUUGGAAUGACUAUGUUCUUAAAGACCUCAUCUCAGCUCCCUGGUUGUGGUGAUGAGCUAGCCAUGGCUCUUGAUUGAAGCUGGACCAGUUAGAGAACUUGGGAUUUUGACCAAAGGAUGCAGAUCUUAUCACUCCCUUUGGAGGGAAAAAUUUGGGAAUAUCUGUACUUCUGAAACAAAUAACGCAAC